GUGGAUCCCAGGGCUUGGAGCUACACAAUACAUUUAUUGAGUCUGUGAGACAUUGCCCACUUCACAUCUAGUCUGUUGAGAUUUGAGUCUCUGUCCAGACAGUGUGCCUCCAUUAAAGUCAGGAAAAAGGAACUGUGGCAACUACAGAGCAAGAGAGAAAAAAAAGCAGGGAGAGGUGAACAAGGCCAAAAGAACGUAAACCAAAGAAGUAAACUCUGCAAAUCUUGAUGAAUACAACUCCACUGAUUAUACAUCUUUGAGCAUAUUAUGAUCCAUAUCUCCAACUAAUAAAAGACUAAAAGAUUGCCUUUGUUAGGAAAAUCAUAAAAAUGAAUUUAAAAGUACAUAAAGUAACAGCAAGAAAUUCUGUUGUAUUCCAUUUUGAUGAAGGCAGACACAGUUAGAGAAAAACACAGGCAUAACAUUUCUAACCAAGGCUGAAGAGAUCAGAGUUUUGUUGGUAAAGUUAAGGAGGCAUUCUCAAAGAAAGGGUAAGUAUGAGAUCCAACACAAAACCAGGAUGAAUUCUUCAAGGGAAGGAGGUAGAAGCUGUGUUUAUUUAUUUAUUUAUUUAUUUUUGCUUUCAGUAUAUGCAAUAAAUAUACAGUUAAGUAAAAAGAUGAGCUGAAAAAAAAUUAUGUUGUAGAGUUGACAGGAGUCAGAAAAUAGAGUUUUUUUCCUAAAGUACUGCACAAAAUUCAAGGAGAGAAAAUGUGUCAUUGAGGGGUGU
Molecule: long non-coding RNA, 730 nt
Organism: Gallus gallus (chicken)
Lineage: Eukaryota; Metazoa; Chordata; Aves; Galliformes; Phasianidae
Source: Ensembl